Mesoplodon densirostris (Blainville's beaked whale) is the source of this 107-nucleotide small nuclear RNA. Lineage: Eukaryota; Metazoa; Chordata; Mammalia; Artiodactyla; Ziphiidae. The record is from RefSeq and is a predicted model, not a curated record.
GUGCUCGUUUCGGCAGCACAUAUGCUAAAAUUGGAAUGAUACAGAGAAGAUUAGCAUGGCCCCUGUGCAGGGAUGAUACGCAGAUUCGUGAAGUGUUCCAUAUUUUU